ACUUGAAUAGCUUAUUUAGAGCAUGAUAUUGAAGAUAUCAAGGUAAUUUAGAUUUUCAGGUA
RNAcentral lists this transfer RNA (62 nucleotides) under Neolucanus maximus. RNAcentral describes it as "tRNA-Phe". The record is from RNAcentral. Lineage: Eukaryota; Metazoa; Arthropoda; Insecta; Coleoptera; Lucanidae.